Molecule: ribosomal RNA, 1588 nt
Filed under: Acinetobacter pittii
Lineage: Bacteria; Pseudomonadati; Pseudomonadota; Gammaproteobacteria; Moraxellales; Moraxellaceae
Description: bacterial SSU rRNA
Rfam family: Bacterial small subunit ribosomal RNA
Source: RNAcentral
GAUGAGCCAGAAUUGGCACCUUGUCUAUAAAUAAGGUGCAAAAUGAUUUUAACUGAAGAGUUUGAUCAUGGCUCAGAUUGAACGCUGGCGGCAGGCUUAACACAUGCAAGUCGAGCGGGGGAAGGUAGCUUGCUACCGGACCUAGCGGCGGACGGGUGAGUAAUGCUUAGGAAUCUGCCUAUUAGUGGGGGACAACAUCUCGAAAGGGAUGCUAAUACCGCAUACGUCCUACGGGAGAAAGCAGGGGAUCUUCGGACCUUGCGCUAAUAGAUGAGCCUAAGUCGGAUUAGCUAGUUGGUGGGGUAAAGGCCUACCAAGGCGACGAUCUGUAGCGGGUCUGAGAGGAUGAUCCGCCACACUGGGACUGAGACACGGCCCAGACUCCUACGGGAGGCAGCAGUGGGGAAUAUUGGACAAUGGGGGGAACCCUGAUCCAGCCAUGCCGCGUGUGUGAAGAAGGCCUUAUGGUUGUAAAGCACUUUAAGCGAGGAGGAGGCUACUCUAGUUAAUACCUAGGGAUAGUGGACGUUACUCGCAGAAUAAGCACCGGCUAACUCUGUGCCAGCAGCCGCGGUAAUACAGAGGGUGCGAGCGUUAAUCGGAUUUACUGGGCGUAAAGCGUGCGUAGGCGGCUUAUUAAGUCGGAUGUGAAAUCCCCGAGCUUAACUUGGGAAUUGCAUUCGAUACUGGUGAGCUAGAGUAUGGGAGAGGAUGGUAGAAUUCCAGGUGUAGCGGUGAAAUGCGUAGAGAUCUGGAGGAAUACCGAUGGCGAAGGCAGCCAUCUGGCCUAAUACUGACGCUGAGGUACGAAAGCAUGGGGAGCAAACAGGAUUAGAUACCCUGGUAGUCCAUGCCGUAAACGAUGUCUACUAGCCGUUGGGGCCUUUGAGGCUUUAGUGGCGCAGCUAACGCGAUAAGUAGACCGCCUGGGGAGUACGGUCGCAAGACUAAAACUCAAAUGAAUUGACGGGGGCCCGCACAAGCGGUGGAGCAUGUGGUUUAAUUCGAUGCAACGCGAAGAACCUUACCUGGCCUUGACAUAGUAAGAACUUUCCAGAGAUGGAUUGGUGCCUUCGGGAACUUACAUACAGGUGCUGCAUGGCUGUCGUCAGCUCGUGUCGUGAGAUGUUGGGUUAAGUCCCGCAACGAGCGCAACCCUUUUCCUUAUUUGCCAGCGAGUAAUGUCGGGAACUUUAAGGAUACUGCCAGUGACAAACUGGAGGAAGGCGGGGACGACGUCAAGUCAUCAUGGCCCUUACGGCCAGGGCUACACACGUGCUACAAUGGUCGGUACAAAGGGUUGCUACCUAGCGAUAGGAUGCUAAUCUCAAAAAGCCGAUCGUAGUCCGGAUUGGAGUCUGCAACUCGACUCCAUGAAGUCGGAAUCGCUAGUAAUCGCGGAUCAGAAUGCCGCGGUGAAUACGUUCCCGGGCCUUGUACACACCGCCCGUCACACCAUGGGAGUUUGUUGCACCAGAAGUAGCUAGCCUAACUGCAAAGAGGGCGGUUACCACGGUGUGGCCGAUGACUGGGGUGAAGUCGUAACAAGGUAGCCGUAGGGGAACCUGCGGCUGGAUCACCUCCUUAA